RNAcentral lists this unclassified non-coding RNA (300 nucleotides) under uncultured Neostagonospora. RNAcentral's name for it is "sequence contains 5.8S rRNA gene, ITS2". The stretch from base 1 to 84 matches the Rfam family "5.8S ribosomal RNA", at positions 69 to 154 of the family's 154-position model. The record is from RNAcentral. Lineage: Eukaryota; Fungi; Ascomycota; Dothideomycetes; Pleosporales; Phaeosphaeriaceae.
GGAUAAGAGAAAGGUGAGUCAUCGAAUCUUUGAACGCACAUUGCGCCCUAUAGUAUUCUGUAGGGCAUGCAUGUUCGAGCGUCAUUUGUACCUUCAAGCUUUGCUUGGUGUUGGGUGUUUGUCCUCUCCCUGGUGUUUGGACUCGCCUUAAAAUAAUUGGCAGCCAGUGUUUUGGUAUUGAAGCGCAGCACAAUUUGCGAUUCUGACCUUAAAAUACUAGCAUCCAUAAGUAUUUUCUCACUUUUGACCUCGGAUCAUGUAGGGAUACCCGCUGAACUUAAGCAUAUCAAUAAGCGGAGG